Molecule: ribosomal RNA, 468 nt
Filed under: uncultured bacterium
Lineage: Bacteria
Description: partial 16S ribosomal RNA
Rfam family: Bacterial small subunit ribosomal RNA
Source: RNAcentral
GACGAACGCUGGCGGCGUGCUUAACACAUGCAAGUCGAACGGAAAGGCCCUGCUUUUGUGGGGUGCUCGAGUGGCGAACGGGUGAGUAACACGUGAGUAACCUGCCCUUGACUUUGGGAUAACUUCAGGAAACUGGGGCUAAUACCGGAUAGGAGCUCCUGCUGCAUGGUGGGGGUUGGAAAGUUUCGGCGGUUGGGGAUGGACUCGCGGCUUAUCAGCUUGUUGGUGGGGUAGUGGCUUACCAAGGCUUUGACGGGUAGCCGGCCUGAGAGGGUGACCGGCCACAUUGGGACUGAGAUACGGCCCAGCCUCCUACGGGGGGCAGCAGUGGGGAAUAUUGCACAAUGGGCGGAAGCCUGAUGCAGAAACGCCGCGUGCGGGAUGACGGCCUUCGGGUUGUAAACCGCUUUCGCCUGUGACGAAGCGUGAGUGACGGUAAUGGGUAAAGAAGCACCGGCUAACUACGUG